Arachis duranensis is the source of this 771-nucleotide RNA transcript. It is a transcript of the gene named photosynthetic NDH subunit of subcomplex B 3, chloroplastic, with no coding region annotated. The transcript is spliced from 6 exons. Lineage: Eukaryota; Viridiplantae; Streptophyta; Magnoliopsida; Fabales; Fabaceae. The record is from RefSeq and is a predicted model, not a curated record.
UAAGAGACUGUGUUCUAAUUAAAAUCCACGUACAUGUCUACCUAUAUUUUUCCUUAUUUAUUAUUAUUAUUAUUAUCAUCACAAAAGAUUCAACAAGCUAAGUGAAUAAACGGGUUGUGGGAGAGACAAUAAAUAAUGGCUUCCAUGAAUAUAUUCACUCCCAUUUCACUCCCCUCCAACAGCUACUUCCCCCGCCGGCGACAACCCAUCUCAGCCCCUUUUGCUGCCGUGAACUCGCCGGAAUCUCCUCCCGCAAAGCCUGAAAUAGAGCUUGAAUUCAUUGGGCCGAAGGCUUCAAGUGAUGGAUCGUACCCUGUGGAUAAAGCAAAAGAAAUAAGUGGAGAGAAGCUGUUGAGGAACAUAAUGUUGGAUAACAAUAUUGAGCUUUAUGCCACCUAUGGGAAGGUGAUGAAUUGUGGAGGAGGUGGUAGCUGUGGAACUUGCAUAGUAGAGAUACUUGAAGGAAAGGAUCUUUUAAAUGAGAGAACAAAUACUGAGCUUCGAUAUCUUAAGAAGGCAUGUAUUCUAUCCCUUAAUUAAGAAACCUGAAUCUUGGAGGCUAGCUUGUCAAACUAUUGUUGGAAACAAGGAAAACUCUGGGAAGGUUAUUGUUCAAAGGAUUCCUCAGUGGAAGAAGUAAUAGAGAAAGCAGCUCAUGAUGCAAGCUUUGAAAGAAGUCCACAUAUGUAACUGCUGGAUAUUAUUAUUUAACAUUGUUCAAACUUCAUAAUAUAAUUAUUGAAAAUCAAUGAGAUCUGCAAAUAUAUAUUA